This 226-nucleotide unclassified non-coding RNA is filed under the name Hevea brasiliensis (rubber tree). The record is from RNAcentral. Lineage: Eukaryota; Viridiplantae; Streptophyta; Magnoliopsida; Malpighiales; Euphorbiaceae.
GAUUACUUCGAACAAGGUGGUCCUUGCUCAGAUGAGUUUGCUGUUGGUUUGCACGAUGAAUAUAAGCCACUUGAAGGACAUGAUAUAGGGCAGUUUCCAGGACUGGAUACUGUUGAUCAAAUUACAAAUGUCCCAGCUUUGACACUCGCUACAUGAACUGAUCCUGUGACGAAGUCUUCUGAUGAUUUGUUGGUUAAAGCAAGCGAAAACAAAUUAAGACACAAGG